This 274-nucleotide ribosomal RNA is filed under the name uncultured bacterium. RNAcentral describes it as "partial 16S ribosomal RNA". It matches the Rfam family "Bacterial small subunit ribosomal RNA", at positions 523 to 796 of the family's 1533-position model. The record is from RNAcentral.
AUACAGAGGGUGCAAGCGUUAAUCGGAAUUACUGGGCGUAAAGCGCGCGUAGGCGGUUUGUUAAGUUGGAUGUGAAAGCCCCGGGCUUAACCUGGGAACGGCAUUCGAAACUGGUAGGCUAGAGUAUGAUAGAGGAAAGUGGAAUUCCAGGUGUAGCGGUGAAAUGCAUAGAUAUCUGGAGGAACAUCAGUGGCGAAGGCGGCUUUCUGGAUCAAUACUGACGCUGAGGUGCGAAAGCGUGGGGAGCAAACAGGAUUAGAAACCCCAGUAGUCC